AGCAGCCGCGGUAAUUCCAGCUCCAAUAGCGUAUAUUAAAGUUGUUGCAGUUAAAAAGCUCGUAGUUGAAUUUCGGGGUUAGUAGGUUGGUCAUGCCUCUGGUAUGUACUGGUCUCACAGAUUCCUCCUUCCUGAUGAUCCGUAAUGCCAUUAAUUUGGUGUUGCGGGGAAUUUGGACUGUUACUUUGAAAAAAUUAGAGUGUUUAAAGCAAGCUAACGCUUGAAUACAUUAGCAUGGAAUAAUGAAAUAGGACGUUCGAUCCUAUUUUGUUGGUUUCUAGGAUUGACGUAAUGAUUAAUAGGGAUAGUUGGGGGCAUUAGUAUUCAAUUGUCAGAGGUGAAAUUCUCGGAUUUAUUGAAGACUAACUACUGCGAAAGCAUUUGCCAAGGAUGUUUUCAUUAAUCAAGAACGAAAGUUAGGGGAUCGAAGACGAUCAGAUACCGUCGUAGUCUUAACCAUAAACUAUGCCGACUAGGGAUCGGAUGAUGUUAAUUUUUUAACGACUCA
Molecule: ribosomal RNA, 508 nt
Filed under: uncultured glomeraceous AM fungus
Lineage: Eukaryota; Fungi; Glomeromycota; Glomeromycetes; Glomerales; Glomeraceae
Description: SSU rRNA
Rfam family: Eukaryotic small subunit ribosomal RNA
Source: RNAcentral